Molecule: long non-coding RNA, 224 nt
Organism: Mauremys reevesii (Reeves's turtle)
Lineage: Eukaryota; Metazoa; Chordata; Testudines; Geoemydidae
Exons: 3
Source: RefSeq, a predicted model, not a curated record
UGAAGGGCAAAGAAACUCAGGAUCUCAGCUAGUGGAGCAGUUCUAACUGGAGAGACUGAGGAAGACUCACAUCAGAAUAUCCUAUAGUUUAGUAGUUAGAUCACUGCUCCUGAGAGGUGUUCAAAUUCUUCCUCUCCCUCCCAUCCGCUUUCUCUUCUCCCCUGGGGCAGAGAGGGGACAAUUGAACCUGGGUACCCCACAUCCCAGGUAAAAGCCAUACAGAG